GCCCUGUGUAUACAAUAGCCAGGAUUCCAAACAUGUCAGUCCCCCUCAGUAUAACUGUGGCUGUCCUGGAGAGCCUUACUUAGAUAUAGGUCAGAAAUAAGGAGGAGGUCCCUUAUUCUGCCUGAGGCCCAUCAGUGAUGCUCCCGUGUGUUCCUGCCAGCACAGGACCAGGAUCGGUACCUUCUCCAAGCUCCGCAUAGGAGGACCCCAGCUCAAGCCUUCCCUGAGCAUCGCUGGCAGCUCUUGGCUAGUGGGCCGAGGGAGACUCUUCCCCCCCCCCCCUCCCUGCGCUUCCCUUCCCUACCCGGGCUGUAUAUUGCACAGGACAAACACUUAGGAGCCAUCGGCUAUGAGUCCCCCUGGGCCUCAGAGGAAGCAGGAGGCACUAGGGUAAGGGGGGGAGAUUCUGGGGAUGAGGGAUGUUCCAGAAGGCUGCCAAGAAGCUUCAGGGUGGGUGAGCAGGCUUCUUUCUCCUGGAC
RNAcentral lists this long non-coding RNA (479 nucleotides) under Mus pahari (shrew mouse). Its description in RNAcentral is "predicted gene 16034 (MGP_PahariEiJ_G0002514.1)". Lineage: Eukaryota; Metazoa; Chordata; Mammalia; Rodentia; Muridae. The record is from RNAcentral.